UUCACUCAGGAAUGUAUUAACCUUAGCCUCUUUUUUUGGGGGAAUAAUCCAUAUUCCGAAUAGGGGGUAAUUUUCAGAACUAAACACCGCAACUAUUAAACAAGACAACGUUCUGCAGGUAAACAUUAUAACUGAUAUAAAUAAUACCACUUCCUGUUCACUGUGGUAGUUUCACGAGGUUGUGAGUGUCCGAGGUCUCUGUAAACGGACGUCGUGAUUUUUCUGGACACCCCUCUAGGAGUUUGUGGUUCAACCUGCGGAAUUUAAAGGCAAAAUGGCGACAGGGUGAUGGAUGGCAGCCGAAUAUCCAGCACUUAACCGAGUGUCAUGGCGAUCUUGUCGUUGCCUACAAAUUUCCAGCGUCGGAAAGGCUGGCGAUCACAUGUCUGGAUGGUGCCACUGUUUUGGAAACUAUUGGUAAGACCUGUUGCCAACACAUUCAUGUAAUACAUAUGUUAUAUAUGUGGUAUUAUUUCUUAAGAUUAUGGUUUUAGGUUCAUAAUAUCUUAUAAAGUGAAACUCACAAUUUAAUAUAGUAUUAUAUUUAAACCGAUGGUUGAUGGAUAUUGUAUUGCUGUCUCUUGGACAUUGUUGCAUACAUCAUAUAUGUAAUUGCAUUUAAUAUUAUUAUAUUACCUAAUAACCUAUAUAAUUAAUUGCAUACAAUAUAAUAUAUUGCAUAUAAAAAAUAGAUGGCAAUGCAGGAUCUAUUGUAACUUUCAGCAAAGCUCACUCUAGGUGUACACAGUGUCGUGUUUGUGUAUGUGAUGUUGCAGACGUUCGGCGACACUUUGAGUCGAGCUGGGAUGUGUGAACUGCUGUGAUACUAUAACUGGGUGUGAUCAGCAGUCAAAUGAAAUAAGAGCUGUCAGUCACACUUGCCUGGCAACCUCGUCAUGGCAACAUUCGUCUUCUCUUUUGGCACACCCCACAAAAGUCAAAAAGAAAUCCAAUUCCUGGUAUCGUUUGCAUGUGCAAACCUGACAAAAUGACUUUGCGUAAUUGGACAGUGAUCUGUGACCUGCUUCGUGUUGCGAACAGAUCGAGUAGCUAUCAAGAACUGUGUUUUACAGUUGCUUGUGGUACCAAAGAGCUGUUUCUUUAAAGCUUGUACUCACAUAUAUGCUGUGACUACUUGACUGAAAUGGGACCGUGCUUUGCGUGUCUCUAAAUCAGCAGCUCUUAUUCUCAUCCUGCACCUGUCAGACUCCUUAUGUUACCGUAACUUCCUCGAGCCCUAUCACGUUAACGGUUAAUGGGGUAACGAGUUUCCUCACCUGAGGUUGCAGGCGUGAAUAAGGUUCACUGAGAUGUCCCUGUAGCAAUCGCUUAUCCACACCUGAACAGGCAAACGAGAGGCUUUCCUGAAUUAACUACUUCAUUAAGGGAAUUACAUGAAACGCAAAACUUCACACCUCCUCUCAAAAGCUGUACAUGGACGGAAUCAGCACAACUUGCAUCAGAUAUCUCCACCAUAGCAAUGUCCCUGUUAGAUUUAUCACUAGGGGGCAGAAUUGGAUCACUGAUUUUUAUUUAACUCGCAUAAACAUUAACAAUAAUAAUCAGCUGGGUUGGAGGAUAGUCUUUGAAAACACAGGGGAUAACAUUCUGAAUUUACCUUGUGAGUAUUCUGUAGCAUAUUUCAUUACAGUAAAUAAAUGUUUAGAAUUGUCAAAUAAAAUAGAUUGGAUAUCCAGCAAAAGACCUACUCAUAGACAUAAGUGAACAUUGGGAAAUACUAUAAAUAACAGCGUCUUAGUAGUUGCUCUACACAGUUUUACUGAAAGUUCUUUCUGAGUAAAAUAAUGGCAGCCUACAUUAAAACCCACACCACGCUAUAUCAUUCCAUGUACCUAUAUAACUUCAUAACAGAAAUAUAACUAUAGCUUGAUUUUAUUUUUUAUUAAUCAUAUUUAACAAGCUGAAGAAAAACACAAAUCGCCAAGCACAGCCCUGUUAGUGUUUUCUCAGUAAAAUCUAUAGUAAAUAGCAGAUGUCUCAUAGGGAUUGCAGGAUUAAUAGUACCAAACAUUUCAGCUUCAUUCAUUUUCUGGUAUUGAGCAAAUUAAACCCACACGGUCUGUCCUAUGAAAGGUGCAACAGUUUGAAAAGGGGAAAAGCCAAGGGCUCUUUGUGGUAUCCAAACAUUUGAUUAACUUUGGAUCAGCCAGAGAGAAUGGAUUGAAGUCGUGUGGUGAUGAUUAUAUAUCGGUGUAUAAAAUUAGCAGUAUUAGGAGAAUGACGGUAGUCUGAUACUAGCUGUGCUGUGUGCAAUGUUAUUUCUGUUUACUAUCACCUAAUAACUAUGGGAACUAAUUCACUAAAUCUUCAAACAGGACGUAGUUUGGAAUUGUAAUGAUACUCCAUUGUCCUUGAUCAUCUCUUUGAGAUGUAUAAAAUACACGAAGACAAUGUGGUUUUCAAAAGAAAUGGCACAUAUUCUUAUUAAACAUUGUCAAAGUCAUGAAUUUUGUUAGUCUGCACAUUCAUUUGGUACUUAUGUCUUCUAGGUGCCGUGACUUGUGCUGUAAUUGUGAGGCCACCUGUUGGUCAAGAGUGAAAAGUAAAUGGAAAGCAAAUGUCAUGGGCACGUUUUAGACGAAUCAGAAUGGAGAUAAAGUACUGAAAGUAUAUACAUUUAUUAAUUGCAUUCAGAGCAAUAAGCAUUUGAGGAAGACUUGAACUGAACAGUAGAGCUGAAUGAUUCGAGGUUAAGAGUCUUGCUAAAGAGCCCAACAGCUCACAGGCAAUCGCAACCUUUCCUUGCCAGAGAAACGAACCUGUCAGGCUACCAUUAAAUGGCUACCAUUAAGCAUUGUACUGAAAUUCAACUUGAUGUAGCUCUCAUUUAUUAAAAAAAAAAAAAAAAAGUUUUCAAUCCAGCAUGUCACAUCUACAGUACAUUAAUCUGACAGAAAUGAAAAUGACAAUAUAAACUACAAUAAUGUGUUUGUGUAUACAGGAGGCAUCAAAUAGGCAGGAGGAUUUAAAGCCUUGCUUUCUGAAUUUAUUUUCCAAGUACUGAAAAUGAGUGCUAGUUUUCUUAACUUUUUCUUUUGAUAAAUUUUUCAUCAACUUCUUAACCUCAUUAGAUUGUACCUAUUGAAGCGAUAUCAUUACAUAUGCUAUCCCUCGUACAGAAGAACACACCGAUAAACCUCCACACACACACACACACACGCAUGCACACACAUCACAUUACUUUGUCUAUCAUAUGUCAAAGGAGACAUUUUGAUCUUUUUUUUUGAUUCGGUCAGUCACAUUUUGAUCUUGGCUCUGAUGCAUCAUUAACAUUUGAACAUUUCCCCUUAUUCCCUUGCAGGAUUAAUGACCUCGCCACACCAUCCCCACGCCCCCUGCUGCUAAACCUUGUAUUAAUUGGGACGUCAAAAGCCACUUCUCCCACUCUUUAUUGUAUACGUUUACCAUUAGACUCAUUAGCUUCCUGUCGCUUCCCGUCCAGCCUCUCCUUCCCAGCCAGGCGUGACUCUCCUGGGAGAACAUUUCCAUCUUUCCACUAGGCCUGUCUCAACAUUAUCCCUGCUGUAAACGCCUCUCCUCUGAUGGCCCUCUUUUGAUAUUUCUUUUUUUUUAUUUUAUUUUUUUCUUAAGGUCGCUCUGAUCAAGGGCUGCUUGGGUGUUAAUUGGUGGCUUGUGUGCGGCUCCGCCUCUUCAUUCAGCUUUAAUGGUCACCAUUGACAAACAGCAGCCAAAUAACAAUAGAGUGACUUUUUUAUUUUUAAAUACCCUCAGGGAAAUGUUUGAAUGAGGUGAGGUGAUCAGGAGGCCCUGUGUGUGUGUGUGUGUGUGUGUGUGUGUGUGUGUGGUUGUAUGUGUGUGUCGGGGGCGGGGGGGUUAUUUAUUCAUUCAUUCAUUUAAAAAAAAAAAUUUUUUACUUUUUAAAAGGACUGUGCAUUAUGGGAAAGCCCCUAUUUGUCAGGAUUGUUUACAUGUUGACAGACUACAUAAUGUAAUUGUUUUGCAUGUAAUGUCUGGUCUAUCAGCACAGCUGAAAUCGUUCUAGUUCUUUACUGAUCCUCUCUACUUUAAAUUAACUUCCCUUCUGCUGCCUUAUGUUGUUCGCGUCUCACUCAGCACUUCGCGCUACAUUUUAAUGAAAGCUAAUAAGAGCGGCCUCGUCCCAAUACCUCCGGCUCUUGACGUUUCUCUAAAUGUAAGUGUGCUGGUGGCUGCUUGCCAGACCCGAUCCUGUUUUUGGAGCCGAGCUUCGACACCGACAUGGGAUCGUUUUCAUCUGAUCAGUCACUUGUCUAGGCGAAGUGAUGGUGACAAAGUUAGGGCAGCCCCCCCCAUAGGAGUCAAGCAGAGACAGAUGGUUGAGCGUGUGUCCUCAAUCACGCACACAUCUGUGCAUUUUUCAGAGUUUUAAAAGCAACAUAAAAGGAAAAUUGAGUACAUGAGAAAUUGAUUGUGAGCUUCAUAUUUUGAGACCUACAGUAAACCGGGACAAUGUGCUAACGAUCAGUGUCAAUUUCUACAGAUUUAAAGCAAUAUUUCAGGCCAACCAGGGGGGAAGCAUACGAUUUCUCCCUUUAGUCCAAAUGAUGUUAUUUAAACUGUCAGGUUUUUCAAUAUCUCAAACACAGUUGUUUAUGUUGUUUCUGACACUGUUAUCCAUAAAAAAUGGACAAAUCACAUCACAUGGCCAAAAACACAGUAGCAGCAGCAUCUAUCUUGAAGCCAGAAUCAGUUUCUUCUACAGUUUGGUGUUGCUUCGCACAAACAUCAGAUUUAAAUGCAGUUCUUGCAUAAAAAAAAAAAACCUGAACCAUGACCCAACGUCACCUGUUUGUAGUUAUGUGAGCUGUAUUUAUAGUUUUCAUAAAAUUUUUUUCUUAGGUUUACAUUUCUUUUUAAAACUGGAAAUAGUUCAGUUUUAACUGGAGUCUGAUUUAAUGAAAACUUAUUUAUAAAUGUACGUGAGCCAGGUUUCCAUCCUGAACAAAUAAACAAAUGCUUCAUUCAAAAGGUCUGUUAAAACACUGAAAGAAAUUAAUCAGCCACCGAAAAUAUGACUACCAAGAAGAAUAAAUUUGCAUUAGAUGCAAUACCAUUUUUAAUUUUGAUAUGGAAGUGUUUUACGCUCAAAAGAUGUGUUUUGAUAUCCAAAUUACUUUUUGAAUUGCCUGAGCUGUGGUUCGUCUGCACAAGACUCUGCACCCAGGUCAAUAUAAC
Ictalurus punctatus (channel catfish) is the source of this 5196-nucleotide long non-coding RNA. The record is from Ensembl. NCBI's taxonomy places the organism in Eukaryota, Metazoa, Chordata, Actinopteri, Siluriformes, Ictaluridae.